GUCUGUUGGUGUUGUUUAUCCUCCAGGUCUCUGUCUGUUGGUGUUGUUUAUCCUCCAGGUCUCUGUCUGUCUGUUGGUGUUGUUUAUCCUCCAGGUCUCUGUCUGUCUGUUGGUGUUGUUUAUCCUCCAGGUGUCUGUCUGUUGGUGUUGUUUAUCCUCCAGGUCUCUGUCUGUUGGUGUUGUUUAUCCUCCAGGUCUCUGUCUGUCUGUUGGUGUUGUUUAUCCUCCAGGUCUCUGUCUGUUGGUGUUGUUUAUCCUCCAGGUCUCUGUCUGUUGGUGUUGUUUAUCCUCCAGGUCUCUGUCUGUUGGUGUUGUUUAUCCUCCAGGUGUCUGUCUGUUGGUGUUGUUUAUCCUCCAGGUCUCUGUCUGUCUGUUGGUGUUGUUUAUCCUCCAGGUCUCUGUCUGUCUGUUGGUGUUGUUUAUCCUCCAGGUCUCUGUCUGUUGGUGUUGUUUAUCCUCCAGGUCUCUGUCUGUUGGUGUUGUUUAUCCUCCAGGUCUCUGUC
This 503-nucleotide long non-coding RNA is filed under the name Salmo salar (Atlantic salmon). Its description in RNAcentral is "lncRNA (ENSSSAG00000086763.1, ENSSSAG00000087022.1)". The record is from RNAcentral. Lineage: Eukaryota; Metazoa; Chordata; Actinopteri; Salmoniformes; Salmonidae.